CCGAGAUUUGCAUGUGCUUAGUAGCCUGGAUAGAAUCCAUCGCCAUUUGGUUGUUGCAGAGUUCACCCGCAUCACCAUGGUUCCUUUGUUGUCGACUUUCAUGGCCAAGCUGGACCACUACGCUGACCACCUUCUUAGAGUGUUGAAGAAGAAGGGGGGGAACAGCUAAACACAAUAUCAACGUAAUCAUGGCAGCCAUGGAUGGGUCUCCCAGUUCCUGCUGCCAAAAAACAUCCCCACAGCGGGACGCUGAAACCACCAUACUUCACUGUAGAGAUGUAUUAAACAGGAUCACCUAAAGAUUGCUUCCUGUCUCCCACACUUCCUGAGAUGAGAUCACCAGGCCCCACCAUCUAUUUAACUGUGUGAAACAGAUGUAUAAAACCAAGUGAUACAAAAGCACUAUUACUAAAACAUGUGACCAAUACAUCAAAUAAAAUAAAUUUCCA
This is a long non-coding RNA of Oreochromis aureus, 449 nucleotides long. NCBI's taxonomy places the organism in Eukaryota, Metazoa, Chordata, Actinopteri, Cichliformes, Cichlidae. The record is from Ensembl.